This 253-nucleotide ribosomal RNA is filed under the name uncultured bacterium. RNAcentral's name for it is "partial 16S ribosomal RNA". It matches the Rfam family "Bacterial small subunit ribosomal RNA", at positions 524 to 776 of the family's 1533-position model. The record is from RNAcentral.
UACGUAGGGUGCGAGCGUUAAUCGGAAUUACUGGGCGUAAAGCGUGCGCAGGCGGCUUUGCAAGACAGAUUUGAAAUCCCCGGGCUCAACCUGGGAACUGCAUUUGUGACUGCAAGGCUAGAGUACGGCAGAGGGGGAUGGAAUUCCGCGUGUAGCAGUGAAAUGCGUAGAUAUGCGGAGGAACACCAAUGGCGAAGGCAAUCCCCUGGGCCUGUACUGACGCUCAUGCACGAAAGCGUGGGGAGCAAACAGG